UAAUACACCAAUACUUUAUUGAUUUACAACACCAAAGCUUUAUUUCACACAUCACUCACAACUCACUGCAGUGUAAGAUCAGUGCAUUUUUUUUUGGAAUGUCACUGUACUGCAUGUAUGACUGUUAACAUGGAGACGCAGAUGACUUUACUCAUCAUUCUCACUGCAGUUUCAGGUGGAUUUGCUGAUAAAAUUGGACCAAGAGAAGGAGAAACAAAUAUAAUCAAAAGUGAAGGAGAAUCUGUGAUUCUGAGCUGCACAUAUGAAGCAAGCAGCAGUAAUAUUCUGCUUUACUGGUACAGACAGCAUCCUAACAGUGAACCUCAGUAUUUACGACAUGAAGGUUCUCGGUCAUCACAAUCAUCCACUAAACACAAUAUUGACAGUGUAUCUCUGUCAGAUUCAGCUUUAUAUUACUGUGCUCUGAGAGAUGUAGCCCAGUGA
Molecule: non-coding RNA, 444 nt
Organism: Misgurnus anguillicaudatus (oriental weatherfish)
Lineage: Eukaryota; Metazoa; Chordata; Actinopteri; Cypriniformes; Cobitidae
Source: the annotation of a RefSeq genome assembly